UUGGGUGUUUAGGGCCCAUGCGUCAGUAGUUGGAGAGUGGGGGACUGGGUGGCUCGGCUUGGCACAGAGAGGAUAUUAUUCGAGUCCCUUCCCCUGGUUCUCUAUCUCUCGGGCUCCCCUUGUUCUUUCCUGCUUCAAGAGAAAAACAGAGAACAAGCUCUCAUCGUCUUCUCUCUCACUCCCCAAGCUUUGUGCUCCAUUCAAGUGAGAGAUUGAUCUCUAGUGAUAGAUCUGAGAGCUUCAAGAGCAUCUCCUCCCUCUCCUCUCCAUUCCCAUGGUUGGUUUUCUUUGGUGAGAGGAGUUGAGGAAACCCUAGUGUUCAUGCAUUUGUGAUUCAUAUUUGUGGCACUAGGUUGUGAUUGCAAUUGUGGAUUUCUUAUUACUCUUGGUGAUUGCCGUCACCUAGACGGUUGUGGAUUUGUUGAUUGGUGAGGGGAUUUGGUGAUUGUGUCCGCCCCCAAUCAAGGUGCUAUUUGUGAGGGGUUCUUGGGCUUAUUCCCCGGCGGAGUGCCAAAAGCCACUCUAGUGGAUUGCUCGUGUCAUUGAGCUACCUCACUUGUGGGUAGGUUCUUGCGGUGCCCAUUUGUUGGGCUAGGUUUGUGAAACACCUAUUAGCCGCCGAACCACCAAGUGUUGGUCGACACAAUGGGGACUAGCGUGCCGGCAAGCACAUGAACCUCGGGAGAAAAAUAUUGGUGUCAAUAUUGUGAUUGGUAUUCUCCCGGUGAAUAUAUUGAUAUACAUUGUGAUUGGUUCAUCCUCUACAUAUCGGUAUAAUUAUCUCUCAUCUCUUUACUUUCUUGCAAAUUAGUUGUAACUAGUAGUUUUAGCUAGUUGUAACUAGUUGUAGAGAGUAGUGACAUAGCCAUUGCUUGUGCCUAGAGAUCAUAGCAACUAGAAUUGUUGGAUAGGUGACUUGCAACCCUUGUAGAGCUAGAGCAAAAUUGCUUUACGCCUUUUGUUAUAUUAAUCCUUUGCUCUAGUGCCUUGUAGAUUUUUUAAAUAGGCUAUUCACCCCCCCCUCUAGCCAUAUUAGGACCUUUCAAAGAGUGAAUCUUUAUGAAUAAAGGUCUUGAUCUUAGGAGUACGAUAAAUCUCUCAACAAGGGUCUAACUCAUUUUGAACAAACUCAAUACAGAUUAGAUAGCUUUUAUAAUUAUCAUGUUAAUAUUUUCAGGUUUAUCAGACAUAUAAAACACUGAGGAUGGUAGCUAGUAUUUUUGAAUAAGUUCUCCAAGCAUCAAUGAUAACAAGAAUAAGAAACUCAUACUCUACCAUCUCAUAUUCCAUAAUGACUUAAGUAACACCGGGUUUUAAAAUGAUUUUUCAAUAAUUGCAGGUUUUCAGGAAAUAUCACAGAGUGAGAUUACUCAUGAUUAAAAACAUUUUAAUCUUUUUAAUUUAUCAUGUCGGAGACAAUAUUCUGUAUAAUCCAAGAUAUAUGUGUAUGUAUAAAGUGUGCAGAGUAUGUACCUGAAUCGUGGAGUGGUGUAGUCGGAGUGUAUUUGCCAUGUCGAGGGAUCUCCCCCAUACUUGUUUUCUACUUUCUUGCAUAAAAAUAAAGUAGAGACACAAGACAUAAUAAUAAUAAUAAUAAUAAUCUUUAUUAAUCUUGAGGCAUUUAUUACAAAUGACUAGUAAUGAACCAAAGCUAAUAAUAGAUCUAAACCGAAUUUAAAGAUAAAUAACUAAGAUGCAUUGCCUCAAGAUCUAAUUUAGAUAGCUUAGCGGCGCUCUAACUCCCUAAUCUUCCUAUUGGCACUAGCAAGAUCAUGCCUAAGACCUAGUAUCAGGGUGUUAUGGUUAGAGAGCUGCCUAGUGGAUUUCCUAAGCUUUUCAAAAAUGUAUGGAUCAUCUCCAGAUGAGUUAAGUAGCUCGAGAUAUAACUUCUGGAAGUUAAUGCACCUUUGCUGAGACAUUGUCAGGAUGGAAUUUAAGUUUGGCUAUUUUACCUAAGCUUAAAGACAGAACCUAAGGAGGUUUUCUACAUAAAAGUUAUAGGGAAAUUCAUAAGCUUUCUAACAAUACAAGCUGCAACUCUAUUGGAUUAACAGAAUAAGAGUUAUUUGUGUUUUACUACGCUGAUGUUUUUCAUAUCGCGAGGAAAUUUCAGGAUACCUGUUUGCUCCAUUGCACAUAAGUUCUUUGGAAUGUCAGAAGAUCUCAAUGUUAGUUAACUUGUCUGGAAAAUAUGCAAGCUAACUUUCUUGUGUCCCCUAGUUGACCCUUUUAAGGGGGUAGCCUAAUUAAAGAAGUUACAUAGAGAAAAAUUGGAUACUGUUGGAUCAUAAGUGAAGAUCACAAGUGCUUGGUAAAUUGGUUUUGAUUCAGGAUAUCAUCCAAUUUAGAGAAUAUUAUUGGAGAUAUAUGUCAUUGCUGAUACUCAUGGAUUGAGAGUUGUGGUUAUGAGGAUCAGAUGACACCAAAGGUUAUGAAGUUAUAUGUACAGUAUGAGAGUGAAAUAACUUAACCGUGAUAAAGGUACCGAUAAUUGAAACUUAGUGAUGAAACUAACCUUGGAUCAAGAGACUCAGUACAACAAAUUUAAAAGACUAUGAUGUGUAGCAUUCAAAAAGAAUAGGAGAACUAGUCCUUACUAUUCCCCAAUCAAUCUCAUCUUAAGGGGUGUAGUACCUUGAUAUCACGGAUGAUGCAUUUUCGAACUAUUUUGAAGUGAGAGUUGUCUCUUGAGAUAUCCUACGAUCAUCUAUCCUUGCUCGUGUUACUGAUAUGGACUAAAAAAUUAAAGAGAAGUGGCCUUGUAAUUGGAGUUACCUGAGAGUGAGCUUGGUGCACCUGAGUUCUUCACAUGACAAAGUUGGAGCCAUGUUUGGGUGUACUUAAGAAAAAAAUACCCUUAGAGAAAUAAGUUUAAAGAAGUAUCAUACCUACUACACUAGGUGUCUCAUCAAUAUUUUAGGAAUACUUGAGAGGCUACUUGGAGUAAGGAAGUGGAAUCAUUGCUAUGAAGAUAUAACUACUCAAGGAAGUGAACAAGAUUCAAAAUCUACGUCUCUUUCAUAACCGUCUUCUGAAUCUCGAGGACGAGAUUCAUCUUAAGGGGGGUAGAAUUGUAACACCCUAAAAUUUACUCCUUUUGAAAUAUAGAUAAAAUUAUUUAAUUUUAUAUUUUUGUGCUCAUGAAAAUAUAGGAAAAAUAAUAUAUUUUUAAAAAUUAAAAUUUAUCAUAAGGCUUAGCAAAAUUAUUAUGCAUACAUGCUGGUGCAUAUGUUUUGAUGUGAUACUUGUUGCUCCUUUAUGUGUUGAGUGAGCAAAGUUUUUAAAAUGCGUUUAGUAGAUCGAUCUUCCUUGUUGACCAGUACGUCUUUAUCUUUAUCAACCAAAUUUCUUCUUUCUCAACUCAAGUUUUUAUUAGGAGCUUCCUAAAAUCUUUUCUUUGUCACUCAAAAUACUUCUUUUAUUUCCUCGUCCAUCAAGCAAUCUCUACAAACUUUUCGGAAAUUUUUUCAUCUUCUGUUCUCACUUUUCUCUGAGCAUGAUCUAAUUUUUAGAUGCUCUAAACAAUAUUAUCAUGAGCUCCAAAAACUUUAUUCGGGUUCCCCAUGUUCUAUAAUAUGUCUGAGAAUUUUUCCUGAAUUUUCGGAGCAUUUUCGUGGCUUAACUACUAAUUCUAAACUUUUCUAGAAUUAUUUUAUCAACGAAAAUAAUUAAUUCCGAAAAUAAUAAAUCUCUUAUUAUUUUUCCAACGUCAAAGCCCAUAAUAAAUCCCAAGAACCAUGUAGUUAUUUAGUAAUUGUUGGGUAUUUUAAACGCAAACAGAAAAAUCCGCAAGCGCACGGAUACCGAUGUAGCUUUCACCCGGGAGUAUUCCAGAGUAUCGAUUUUCCACAGAGAACGUGAGUGUACUAAUUAAGAUCCAAGAUCGCCCAAGGAUAACUGUAUAAUUAUUUUUGGUGGGAAGAGAGGAAGUUUCCUGAGAGUUCUUUAGUUGAUCUAAGAAUCAAGAAUUACUUCCAAGAUUAUUUAUAUCGGGACAUCAGAGCACUAACCACAGAAAGAGAUGGGAAGGGGGCUAGGAAGGUCUGACUACGGUCCUACAAACACCAAUCCGAACGAGGUGGAAUAUGUCGACCGUUAGGGCUGUCACUACCCUAAGGCUACUACAACAAUCCGCAGGAUUGGGUGCAAUUCCAGGUAAUCGCAAGACUAAACACCACGUCUAAUCUAUUAAUUACUACUCUAGCGUUAUAAAGACUAGAGCACUUGAUGCAAGCGAGAAUCCAAUAAAUAACUUGAAUGCAAAUAAAAGUAAUUAAAGAACUCAGGAAUUAUGAGUUGAAGAACAUGUAGAACGAUGAAGAACGAACCAGUUGCUGCAAAAGUAUAAUAUUGAGGAAGAUCUGACAGAUCCGGCUCCUCCUCCGCUCUCCUCUUCUCUCUCCCUAUUUUCUAGAUUACAACUAGAACUAACUAGAACUAGAACUAGAGGAACUAGAACUAGAACUAGAUGAACUAGAACUAGAUCUAGAUGAACUAGAGGUAGAACUAGAAGAACUAGAGGGAUCCUCUCUACUUGGAUGAAGAAUUGAAACCCUAACUUUGAUUCUGUAGAAGAGGUAUGAUCUCCAGGGGCCAGGGAGCCUUGCUUAUAUAGUCUUUUCAGAUGAAUCUGGGCCGUCGGAUCAAACCGACAUUGAUCGUGUGGUUUUUCUUGAAGUAUUAGGUCGGUGGAGCAUGAUCCGCGAAACGUGUCCUGAUUGGGCACUGUAGCUGGGCGGGCGCCUAGGAGAGUUGGGCGGGCGCCCUGCCUCCGAGCCCGAUUUCCUUCCCGUUCGUUCCUGUGGCUUCUGGAGUCUUCUAGAUGAUAGAAAAUUGCGCGACACGUUAAUAUCUCUAUGUAAACCCGACGUGUGGGCCUUUCUUCCGUAUUUCCUGAUAACCCCCUGCAGAAAUAGACAAACACCAAAACUCGUGGAAUUCUGUCAGAUAAAACCCUAAGUAUAGGUGUUGGUUGCAUUUGGAUCCUUUUCCAUGAUUAGUUGAUGAUUAAAUAUGAGCAUUAAGGACUGUCAACAAGCUCCCCCAAGCUUAACCUUUGCUCGUCCCUGAGCAAAGAUGGACUCAAGAGUUUCUGCAUUGGUUUUAUACCUUAAAGAUACACAAGCGUUCAAACAAGAUCUCAUCUCUAGGUUAGGGUAAACUGUUAAGAUUUAAACUUACUCAUAUUACCUUCCACCAUGGGGCUUACAACCGUCACCUGUGUCUUGAGCAGUUAAAAGAUAGAACGGUCUUGUCAAACGUCAUGUCUCUUGUUCUUCGAUUAACUAUAGCUCUGGAGUUUUUGCAGAUUUUCAAAUAAAACUCAGAGAUUCCUUGUAUGACUCUCUCUAGUCUCUCUUUUGUGGUAUUUCUGGAUUCUUACCAAGGCAGUAAAGGUGUAUGCCUUCUCUCAAAGUAUGUGGUAUUUUUGGUAUAAGGCAUAGUGACAUUGCCUUCUCUCUCACCUACUCUAAUAAGGCUUUUGAUAUCUGGAGCUCAUAGGUGGGAGACAGCUAAUACAUACUUACAAGACAUUUAUUGCAUAGUCAAACCAUGGAUCCAGAAGAACAAGUCAAUAAGUCAGAUCAAGAUGUGCAUGUGUGGCGAAUGAAUGAUGCAUGGUAAUGAUGGUGAUAACAAUGGUGAAAGUCUAAUUCUACUUAUGCUCUUUUGAGGGGAUACAUACCUUUCUUGCUCUUUUGAAACUUUUUGAUGAGAAUGAGAUGCUCUAUAUUUUCUUUUUCUUUUCUCUCAGGUGGGUAUCUUGUACCCCUAAUUCUACUGUCGGACACUUGUCCAUUUUUACCUCUUGUCUCACUUUUUCUUUUCUUUCGAGGUUUCGGGCACUUGCCCCUUUUUAUUUCCUCGUAUCUUUUUUUUUCUUUUUUAGAGCAUUCAUCUCUUGAAAUAAUAUAGCAAGUGGUAGUAACCAAGAUAACUUGAGCAUUUAUUUCACGGGAAAUAACAGGGAUAGGAUAAUGUUUUUGGCUAUUCUCUCCUAGAUAGGAAUAGAAUAAUUUUGAAUGAAUCUGGAGAUGAACAUGAGUGGAUAUAUGUGGAUGCGUACUUCCGGAGUAGAAGCAACAUGUAUGAGUGAACGUGCAAGUGAAUCUUGAUUUAACCACAUGACAAGCUCCUAAGGGUAUACACAGCUUGACCACACGCAAUGCUCAUAAGCAGUAAAAAGUAAAUGUGUGGCUCAAAGUCUAGCAAGCAUGUAUAUAUGGCUGUGGUAGGAAUUUAAACUCUCAUCAUACAAGACCUCAUCAUGCAACAUUUUAAAGAUUUUCAAAGAUAAAAUUCUCCAGAAUUCUAGCAUCUCUAGGAACAGAUAAACAGCAGCUCAACCUUCCCAUAUCAUAUCCGUUAACUACUUAGACUUUAGAUCAAGUACUCUUCCUACAAGUUCAGGUUUAGAGCAAAGCUUAAUUAAUAACAGUCAUGCCUAAACUUGAGAGAGAUUUCAAUUUUGAGAUUUAGUCAUGGCAGAGCAACUAUUCAUCAUUUCCAUGUGAGAGCUUAUCAUGAGGGUUCAUAGCAAACUUUAUUUAUUUAUUUAUUUAGCAAACUAAGCAAAGAUAUAUAUAUAUGAGCACAAAAUCUUUAUUUGGGUUUUUUAUGAUUAUGCAUCUUUUUAUUAUUAGUGUAAAGUAUAAACGUGAGUAGAAUACUUAGCUGGAUAAAUGGGGGUGCUCUCCCCCAAGCUGGAUUUUGACAUAAUUUUUUCUGAUGUAGCUAGCAGGUGGCGGAGGUGUAUUGAAUGUCGGCAGCAUCCUGACAGCGGUUAGGAUGUCCUCCGUCUGCUAGUCUUCUUUGAUCCUUGAAUUCUAUGGAGCUCAAAUAGACAACAAAGCUUUG
Molecule: long non-coding RNA, 6858 nt
Filed under: Sorghum bicolor (sorghum)
Lineage: Eukaryota; Viridiplantae; Streptophyta; Magnoliopsida; Poales; Poaceae
Description: long non-coding RNA (SBIC_LNC006696)
Source: RNAcentral